GGGAAUCUGCCCUUUGGUUCGGAAUAACAGCUGGAAACGGCUGCUAAUACCGGAUGAUGACGAAAGUCCAAAGAUUUAUCGCCAGAGGAUGAGCCCGCGUUGGAUUAGGUAGUUGGUGGGGUAAAGGCCUACCAAGCCGACGAUCCAUAGCUGGUCUGAGAGGAUGAUCAGCCACACUGGGACUGAGACACGGCCCAGACUCCUACGGGAGGCAGCAGUGGGGAAUAUUGGACAAUGGGCGAAAGCCUGAUCCAGCAAUGCCGCGUGAGUGAUGAAGGCCCUAGGGUUGUAAAGCUCUUUUACCCGGGAAGAUAAUGACUGUACCGGGAGAAUAAGCCCCGGCUAACUCCGUGCCAGCAGCCGCGGUAAUACGGAGGGGGCUAGCGUUGUUCGGAAUUACUGGGCGUAAAGCGCACGUAGGCGGCUUUGUAAGUCAGAGGUGAAAGCCUGGAGCUCAACUCCAGAACUGCCUUUGAGACUGCAUCGCUUGAAUCCAGGAGAGGUCAGUGGAAUUCCGAGU
RNAcentral lists this ribosomal RNA (520 nucleotides) under uncultured bacterium. RNAcentral's name for it is "bacterial SSU rRNA". It matches the Rfam family "Bacterial small subunit ribosomal RNA", at positions 120 to 674 of the family's 1533-position model. The record is from RNAcentral.